GACGAACGCUGGCGGCGUGCUUAACACAUGCAAGUCGAACGAUGAAGCUGGAGCUUGCUCUGGCGGAUUAGUGGCGAACGGGUGAGUAACACGUGAGAAAUCUGCCCUUGACUCUGGGAUAACUGCGGGAAACUGUAGCUAAUACCGGAUACUUUCCCUGGUGGGCAUCCACUGGGGAAGAAAGAAUUUCGGUCAAGAAUGAUCUCGCGGCCUAUCAGCUUGUUGGUGAGGUAAUGGCUCACCAAGGCGACGACGGGUAGCCGGCCUGAGAGGGUGACCGGCCACACUGGGAGUGAGACACGGCCCAGGCUCCUACGGGAGGCAGCAGUGGGGAAGAUUGCACAAUGGGCGCAAGCCUGAUGCAGCAACGCCGCGUGAGGGAUGAAGGCCUUCGGGUUGUAAACCUCUUUUAGCAGGGAAGAAGCGAAAGUGGCGGUACCUGCAGAAAAAGCACCGGCUAACUACGUGCCAGCAGCCGCGGUAA
This 484-nucleotide ribosomal RNA is filed under the name uncultured bacterium. RNAcentral's name for it is "partial 16S ribosomal RNA". It matches the Rfam family "Bacterial small subunit ribosomal RNA", at positions 28 to 523 of the family's 1533-position model. The record is from RNAcentral.